UGAAUUGACGGGGACCCGCACAAGCAGCGGAGCGUGUGGUUUAAUUCGUUGCUACACGAAGAACCUUACCUGGGUUUGACAUAUAGGUUGUAGGGAACUGAAAAGGGACCGACCCUUCGGGGAGCCUAUACAGGUGUUGCAUGGCUGUCGUCAGCUCGUGUCGUGAGAUGUUCGGUUAAGUCCGCUAACGAGCGCAACCCUCGUCGUAUGUUAUAUGUGUCACACGGGACUGCCGGUCUUAAGCCGGAGGAAGGUGGGGAUGAUGUCAAGUCAGCAUGGCCUUUAUAUCCUGGGCUACACACACGCUACAAUGGCCAACACAAUAGGUUGCUAAGCCGCGAGGUGGCGCCAAUCCAUAAAGUUGGUCUCAGUUCAGAUUGUAGGCUGCAACCCGCCUGCAUGAAGAUGGAGUUGCUAGUAACCGCAGGUCAGCUAUACUGCGGUGAAUACGUUCCCGGGGCUU
This 463-nucleotide ribosomal RNA is filed under the name uncultured Anaerolineaceae bacterium. Its description in RNAcentral is "bacterial SSU rRNA". It matches the Rfam family "Bacterial small subunit ribosomal RNA", at positions 907 to 1382 of the family's 1533-position model. Lineage: Bacteria; Bacillati; Chloroflexota; Anaerolineae; Anaerolineales; Anaerolineaceae. The record is from RNAcentral.